GGAUAACCUACCCUUAGGACCGGGAUAACCCUGGGAAACUGGGGCUAAUACUGGAUAGAUGAUUUUUCCUGCAAUGGUAUUUUGUCUAAAUGUUUUUUCGCCUAAGGAUGGGUCUGCGGCCGAUUAGGUAGUUGGUUAGGUAAUGGCUUACCAAGCCGUUUAUCGGUACGGGUUGUGAGAGCAAGAGCCCGGAGAUGGAACCUGAGACAAGGUUCCAGGCCCUACGGGGCGCAGCAGGCGCGAAACCUCCGCAACGUGAGAAAUCGCGACGGGGGGAUCCCAAGUGCCAUUCUUAACGGGAUGGCUUUUCUUGAGUGUAAAAAGCUCUUGGAAUAAGAGCUGGGCAAGACCGGUGCCAGCCGCCGCGGUAACACCGGCAGCUCUAGUGGUAGCCAUUUUUUAUUGGGCCUAAAGCGUUCGUAGCCGGUUUAAUAAGUCUCUGGUGAAAUCCCACAGCUUAACUGUGGGAAUUGCUGGAGAUACUAUUAGACUUGAGGUCGGGAGAGGUUAGAGGUACUCUCAGGGUAGGGGUGAAAUCCUGUAAUCCUGGGAGGACCACCUGUGGCGAAGGCGUCUAACUGGAACGAACCUGACGGUGAGGGACGAAAGCUAGGGGCGCGAACCGGAUUAGAUACCCGGGUAGUCCUAGCCGUAAACGAUGCGGACUUGGUGUUAGGAUGGCUUUGAGCCGCCCUAGUGCCGAAGGGAAGCUGUUAAGUCCGCCGCCUGGGAAGUACGGUCGCAAGACUGAAACU
RNAcentral lists this ribosomal RNA (755 nucleotides) under uncultured archaeon. RNAcentral describes it as "bacterial SSU rRNA". It matches the Rfam family "Archaeal small subunit ribosomal RNA", at positions 102 to 856 of the family's 1478-position model. The record is from RNAcentral.